Molecule: ribosomal RNA, 253 nt
Filed under: uncultured bacterium
Lineage: Bacteria
Description: partial 16S ribosomal RNA
Rfam family: Bacterial small subunit ribosomal RNA
Source: RNAcentral
UACGAAGGGUGCUAGCGUUGUUCGGAAUUACUGGGCGUAAAGCGCGCGUAGGCAGCUACGCAAGUCAGGGGUGAAAGCCCACAGCUUAACUGUGGAAUUGCCUUUGAAACUGCAUAGCUAGAGUAUUGGAGGGGAUAGCGGAAUUCCUAAUGUAGAGGUGAAAUUCGUAGAUAUUAGGAGGAACACCGGUGGCGAAGGCGGCUAUCUGGACAAUAACUGACGCUGAAGUGCGAAAGCGUGGGGAUCAAACAGG